Nothoprocta perdicaria is the source of this 618-nucleotide long non-coding RNA. RefSeq lists it as uncharacterized. The transcript has 5 exons. The record is from RefSeq and is a predicted model, not a curated record. Lineage: Eukaryota; Metazoa; Chordata; Aves; Tinamiformes; Tinamidae.
UUAGGAGUUAAACUUCAUCACCUGAACUUAGGCUUGAUAUAAGUGUCAGUGAACACAGAGCCAGCCUUAGAGAUCUGCUGUGGACUUGAAAAUACUAUACAGGAAUCCGAACAAAGUUUCAAACUCCUUGAUAUUCAUGAGAUGCAGAGGAAAUAUGCUGGGCUGGGUUAAUUCUUCUCUCAGACUGCAAAGACAAGUCAAUCAAGGACUUGCUGAUCCUGGUCCUUCCAGCUACAGGGAGAGGAGACACAUUCCUGAACUGCUUCUACUUAAAACAGCAGACAUCAAGAAUAGGACUCUCUGAAAGGGAUGGUGUUUUUCAUGUUGCCUUCUACUAAUUAGAAAGUGACCUGGAUAUUUUGCAGAGACAUGGAUAAGGGUUCAGGAGCAUUGGUUGGGGAAGAGCAGCUUCAACCAUGACUGCAACUACUGAGCAAGAAAGUUAUUUCAUUGACUUGAUUAGAAAUUGGACAGAAUAUGAUCUGCUAGUUAAAGGAAGGAAUACUGAAGUUUCCUUGCUGCCUGAAGGGAAGUCAUUUGCAAAAUCUGGUUACAUGCAUCUUUGGUAAUCAUAUUCAUCUAUGGUCUGAAGACAGAAGAAAAUAAGAAAAUACUUGC